GACGAACGCUGGCGGCGUGCUUAACACAUGCAAGUCGAACGGAAAGGCCCUGCUUUUGUGGGGUGCUCGAGUGGCGAACGGGUGAGUAACACGUGAGUAACCUGCCCUUUACUUUGGGAUAACUUCAGGAAACUGGGGCUAAUACCGGAUAGGAGCUCCUGCUGCAUGGUGGGGGUUGGAAAGUUUCGGCGGUUGGGGAUGGACUCGCGGCUUAUCAGCUUGUUGGUGGGGUAGUGGCUUACCAAGGCUUUGACGGGUAGCCGGCCUGAGAGGGUGACCGGCCACAUUGGGACUGAGAUACGGCCCAGACUCCUACGGGGGGCAGCAGUGGGGAAUAUUGCACAAUGGCCGGAAGCCUGAUGCAGCAACGCCGCGUGCGGGAUGACGGCCUUCGGGUUGUAAACCGCUUUCGCCUGUGACGAAGCGUGAGUGACGGUAAUGGGUAAAGAAGCACCGGCUAACUACGUG
This 468-nucleotide ribosomal RNA is filed under the name uncultured bacterium. RNAcentral's name for it is "partial 16S ribosomal RNA". It matches the Rfam family "Bacterial small subunit ribosomal RNA", at positions 28 to 507 of the family's 1533-position model. The record is from RNAcentral.